This is a long non-coding RNA of Ursus maritimus (polar bear), 1707 nucleotides long. Lineage: Eukaryota; Metazoa; Chordata; Mammalia; Carnivora; Ursidae. The record is from Ensembl.
UGUGAAAUUUAUCAUUUAUUUAAUAUAGCGCUUACAUCCAUGAUGAUACUUUUUAAGUUUACGUUAUCGAUUAUCAGCAUGGCCAUAUCUUCAUGAAUAUAUCUUAGAUUUUCUCUGAAAGCUUGGCCAAAAUAAGACUAUGUGUUUUCUCCGUGUUCUCCACAGCCAAGGACAAGUUGGAAGCAGCACCUGGCAGCCAAGUCAGAUGAAUGGAGUUACAUGACUUCCUGGGGGAGACAAGUACUGAGAGUCUGUCACGGGCAUGGCACUGAAUGGCUCAGAAGUAUAAAUGGAGAGUUCAUCUCCUUAAGUCGUCUCUACACCCAGUGCGGGGUCCGAACCCACAACCCUGCGAUCCAGUUGCAUGCUCCACCGACUGAGCCAGCUGGGCGCCCUGGAAGUUAUGUUCUGAUAUGCACUCAGNNNNNNNNNNNNNNNNNNNUGUAUCACUGCGGGCCAGUCUCUCCUAACAGUCCUGACCCAAGGUGGCCCAGUCUCAUGUCAGUGUCCCUGGCGAUCGCACAGUGUAUGUUUGAAUGAUGCUUCUUUUGGCAUCCUUGUAACUUUGGCUUGUCUUGGUCUUUAGAUUGAAAUUGUAUUUUGUAAACUCCUAAGUCAGGUGGGUUUUUUUUUUUCUUUUUACUCCAAGUUUCUGGCUUCUAAUUGUAGUGUCCCGUGCAUUUACAUUUAUUAUAACGAUUGACACAGUGGGUUUAAAAUCCCUACCUCGUACUAUAUUUGUUCCAUCUGAUCUUCUUGCCUUCUUUCUUGCCGCUAUUGGACGAUUCGUAUAUUUUUAAAAUUCUAUUUAUCUCCUCUAUUGUAUUUUUUAUAUAUAGGCUAUUAUAUAACAUUAUAUGUAAUAUAUACAUUUAUACUUACUUAGUGGCUGAGCUAGAAAUUACCACAGUUCACUUUGAAAUCAUACAGCAUCUGAUCAGCCACAUAAGAACCUUGAAACAGUGAAAUAACACCGACUUUACGUCCUAACCUUUUGUUCUCUGGCAAUCAUAUUUUUUUUUUAAAGAUUUUAUUUAUUUACCUGACAGAGAUAGAGACAGCCAGCGAGAGAGGGAACACAAGCAGGGGGAGUGGGAGAGGAAGAAGCAGGCUCAUAGCAGAGGAGCCUGAUGUGGGGCUCGAUCCCAUAAUGCCGGAAUCACGCCCUGAGCCGAAGGCAGACGCCCAACGACUGUGCCACCCAGGCGCCCCUGGCAAUCAUAUUUUUUAUUUUUCAGGGUUGCAUGGUCUCACCUGGUAGCCACUAGCCACGUGUGGCGAUUUAAACAUCAAGUUACAUUAAUUAUAACCAAGUACCACUUUAAAGUUCGGCUCCCUAGUCACACUAGCCACACUGGCAGUGCCCGCGAGCCCCCUGGGGACACGGCUCCCCUACUGGACACGUGCUGGGACAGGACACUCCCAGUAUAUGGCAGGGAAUGAGCACCCCCGACACGUGACUUUAAAUUUUGCUUUAAGCAUUCAUCCAAUAAUUUUUAAAGAAAUUAUUUUAGGGGCACCUGGGUGGCUCAGUCGGUGAAGCGUCUGCCUUCAGUUCAGGUCACUAUCCUGGGGUCCUGGGAUCGAGCCCCACAGCGGGCUCCCUGCUCCAUGGGGAGUCUGCUUCUCCCUCUCCCCCUGCCGCUCCCCCUGCUUGUGCACUCUCUGUCAAAUAAAUAAAAUCUUUUUAAAAAUAGGUAAAUUAUU